This 1050-nucleotide long non-coding RNA is filed under the name Cricetulus griseus (Chinese hamster). Its description in RNAcentral is "lncRNA (ENSCGRG00015037882.1)". The record is from RNAcentral. Lineage: Eukaryota; Metazoa; Chordata; Mammalia; Rodentia; Cricetidae.
GAGGAGUUAAGAGUUCUACAACUGGAUCCACAGGCAGCAGAAAGAUACUAGGCCUGGCUUGAGCUUUGGAAUCCCCAAAGCCCAACCGCAGUGACACAUUUCCUUCAACAAGGCCACAUCUCUCAAUCUCUCUCAAGUAGUGCUACUUACUAAUUAUCAAGCAAUUAAAUAUAUGAGCCCUUGGAGGCCAUUCCUGUUCAAGCCACCACAUUCCACUUCUUGGCCCCCAUAGGCUUGUAGCCAUAUCAUAAUGCAAAAAUGCAUUCAGUCCAACUUCAAAAGUCCCCAUGAUCUACAGUAGUCUCAACACUAUUUGAAAGUCCAAAGUUUCUUCUGAGAUUCAUGUCAGUCUCUUAACUGUAAUCCCCUAGAGGGAAAAAAGAAGAUCAUAUGCUUCAAAGAUACAAUGGCACAGGGUAUAUAUACGUUACCAUUCCAAAAGGGAGGAAAGGGAACAUAGAAAAUACUGGAACAAAGCAAGACUGAAAACCAACCAGGCAAACUCCAAACGAAGAAAGUGAGCCUACUGUGAAAAGCAGCAUUAAUCCUAUAGGAGGAUCACCUCAGUAAGUUCAAGAUAGAGUUUCUCUGUAUAGACCAGACUGGCCUCAAAAAUAUAGAUUCGCCUGCCUCUAAGUGAUGGGAUUAAAGAUGACAACCAAACCAUCCCUUGAAAGAAGAGACAUAAGGGACAGAAAUGGAGGGAAGAGAGAUGUGGAUGAAAGAUGAGACUCAGCCUAAUUCAUAUUCAGUCCUUACCAGCUUUGAGUACCUCGAAGAGAAGAAGGCCAUUUUUGUAUGCUGUCAUAAAACACCAAAAUGAAGACAACUUAUAGAAGAAAGAGUUUAUUUGGACUUACAGAUCCAGAGGGACAAGAGUCCACCAUGGCAAGUAAGCAUGCUGGUAAGCCUCAGGCAUGGUGCCGGGAGCAGGAAGGAGAGAGCACAUCUGUUGCCACAAGUAGGAAGCCAACAGAGCAAACUGAAGUGGGGCACAGUUAUGAACUCUCCAGCAAUAUACUUCCUUCAGCAAAACUGUACAUCCUAAAC